CCUACGGGAGGCAGCAGUGAGGAAUAUUGGUCAAUGGGCGGAAGCCUGAACCAGCCAAGUAGCGUGCAGGAUGACUGCCCUACGGGUUGUAAACUGCUUUUAUACGGGAAUAACGCGCCUUACGUGUAGGGUUUUGUAUGUACCGUAUGAAUAAGGAUCGGCUAACUCCGUGCCAGCAGCCGCGGUAAUACGGAGGGUCCGAGCGUUAUCCGGAUUUAUUGGGUUUAAAGGGAGCGUAGGCCGCAUGUCAAGUGUGCUGUGAAAUGUUCGGGCUCAACCGGGGCAUUGCAGUGGGAACUGGCGGGCUUGAGUCCACGGAAGGCAGGCGGAAUUCGUCGUGUAGCGGUGAAAUGCUUAGAUAUGACGAAGAACCCCGAUUGCGAAGGCAGCUUGCUGCAGCGGAACUGACGCUGAUGCUCGAAAGCGCGGGUAUCGAACAGGAUUAGAUACCCCAGUAGUC
RNAcentral lists this ribosomal RNA (460 nucleotides) under uncultured bacterium. Its description in RNAcentral is "partial 16S ribosomal RNA". It matches the Rfam family "Bacterial small subunit ribosomal RNA", at positions 338 to 795 of the family's 1533-position model. The record is from RNAcentral.